Molecule: ribosomal RNA, 198 nt
Filed under: Triticum aestivum (bread wheat)
Lineage: Eukaryota; Viridiplantae; Streptophyta; Magnoliopsida; Poales; Poaceae
Description: partial small subunit ribosomal RNA
Source: RNAcentral
AUGCUGAGUAUUGGGGAAUAUUCAACUUUUCAAGUUUCAACUUAUUCUGUCAUCUUUAUUUUGGUUCUCUGCCACUUGGAGUGCCUUGGGUUUCACUUAACAUGUGAGUACAUGUAUGGAACAGAGGAAAAAAGAAAGAGGGCAAUUCAAUUUCAGAGAGAAAGAGAGAGAUACGUACAUGUAUGGUUCAGCCAAUGA